This 253-nucleotide ribosomal RNA is filed under the name uncultured bacterium. RNAcentral's name for it is "partial 16S ribosomal RNA". It matches the Rfam family "Bacterial small subunit ribosomal RNA", at positions 524 to 776 of the family's 1533-position model. The record is from RNAcentral.
GACAGAGGUGCCGAGCGUUAGGCGGAAUCACUGGGCUUAAAGCGUGUGUAGGCGGAUGCCUAAGUACCUUGUGAAAUCCCACGGCUUAACCGUGGAACUGCUUGGUAUACUGGGUGUCUUGAGCCACUUAGGGGCGACCGGAACAAACGGUGGAGCGGUGAAAUGCGUAGAUAUCGUUUGGAACGCCAAUGGUGAAAACAGGUCGCUGGGAGUGCGCUGACGCUGAGACACGAAAGCGUGGGGAGCGAACAGG